RNAcentral lists this ribosomal RNA (492 nucleotides) under uncultured bacterium. Its description in RNAcentral is "partial 16S ribosomal RNA". It matches the Rfam family "Bacterial small subunit ribosomal RNA", at positions 29 to 507 of the family's 1533-position model. The record is from RNAcentral.
AGUGAACGCUGGCGGUAGGCCUAACACAUGCAAGUCGAACGGCAGCACAGUAAGAGCUUGCUCUUACGGGUGGCGAGUGGCGGACGGGUGAGGUAUACAUCGGAAUCUACUUUUUCGUGGGGGAUAACGUAGGGAAACUUACGCUAAUACCGCAUACGACCUACGGGUGAAAUCAGGGGAUCUUCGGACCUUGCGCGAUUGAAUGAGCCGAUGUCGUAUUAGCUAGUUGGCGGGGUAAAGGCCCACCAAGGCGACGAUCCGUAGCUGGUCUGAGAGGAUGAUCAGCCACACUGGAACUGAGACACGGUCCAGACUCCUACGGGAGGCAGCAGUGGGGAAUAUUGGACAAUGGGCGCAAGCCUGAUCCAGCCAUACCGCGUGGGUGAAGAAGGCCUUCGGGUUGUAAAGCCCUUUUGUUGGGAAAGAAAAGCAGCAGGUUAAUACCCCGCUGUUCUGACGGUACCCAAAGAAUAAGCACCGGCUAACUUCGUG